This is a long non-coding RNA of Sinocyclocheilus rhinocerous, 278 nucleotides long. RefSeq lists it as uncharacterized. The transcript is spliced from 3 exons. The record is from RefSeq and is a predicted model, not a curated record. NCBI's taxonomy places the organism in Eukaryota, Metazoa, Chordata, Actinopteri, Cypriniformes, Cyprinidae.
UGUAGUGUUAACAGAAACAAAGCUGAGUUUACAGAAACGAAUCAACCAUUUCUGCCACUCUCAACAGCCUCCUAUUAAGUUCAUUGGCUGUGAUGUGUUUGGGAUCUGCUCGCGAGUAUUCUGUGAUUUUGGGGAGGCGUUUGAUGUGUCAGACCCUACGGGAGAAGAACCAAAAGAGCUCUUCAUCCAAAACAUCAGCCAGGGGAAUCCUGGUGUAGUGACGUGUAUGGACAGCCGAACACAUGGCCUCCAGACUGGGCAGAGUGUGUGUUUUAAAG